This 501-nucleotide long non-coding RNA is filed under the name Oryza sativa Indica Group (long-grained rice). RNAcentral describes it as "lncRNA OsMH63_05G010600". The record is from RNAcentral. Lineage: Eukaryota; Viridiplantae; Streptophyta; Magnoliopsida; Poales; Poaceae.
UUACAUAAAUCCGGCACCGCCACUACUGGCCUGCCAUUUGACAUUUCUUGGCGGCGGCAAGAUCGACUCCAGAUCGUCGUUUCUAGACGGCGCGCAGCGCACCGGCUCGACGACGGCUGGUCCAAUUCAGCGUCCGACAGGGAGACAGAGGCAGCAUCAUGUACAUCCGGCCGUUGCACCGAUGGGAGACAAACGAUGCUGGCUUUGCUUGAUACGAACAAAAUCGGCGGCGGCGGCGCGGCGGCAGACUCACGGUGCAACGCAUCGUCCAUCCAACCGACGACACGAUCGUCCCCCAGCGGCGUCAUUGGCAAGCAGGCGGUGGGCUUUGCCGUGAUGGCGUCGGUCCAUAUCCAUCGGAAGGCUCAUGGUUGCCAACCGGCGUCAGAACAUGUUGACUCCAAUGACUCAAAUGCUUACCUCAACCCUGCAACAAGCUAGCGUAGAGGGUCUGCGCCAUGGGAAAAAGCUCUUGUUUGGAAACUGUGAUUUAGUGGCAUA